AUUGAACGCUGGCGGCAUGCCUUACACAUGCAAGUCGAACGGCAGCACGGGUGCUUGCCCCUGGUGGCGAGUGGCGAACGGGUGAGUAAUACAUCGGAACAUGUCCUGUAGUGGGGGAUAGCCCGGCGAAAGCCGGAUUAAUACCGCAUACGAUCUACGGAUGAAAGCGGGGGACCUUCGGGCCUCGCGCUAUAGGGUUGGCCGAUGGCUGAUUAGCUAGUUGGUGGGGUAAAGGCCUACCAAGGCGACGAUCAGUAGCUGGUCUGAGAGGACGACCAGCCACACUGGGACUGAGACACGGCCCAGACUCCUACGGGAGGCAGCAGUGGGGAAUCUUGGACAAUGGGCGAAAGCCUGAUCCAGCAAUGCCGCGUGUGUGAAGAAGGCCUUCGGGUUGUAAAGCACUUUUGUCCGGAAAGAAAUCCUUGGCCCUAAUACGGUCGGGGGAUGACGGUACCGGAAGAAUAAGCACCGGCUAACUACGUG
This 486-nucleotide ribosomal RNA is filed under the name uncultured bacterium. Its description in RNAcentral is "partial 16S ribosomal RNA". It matches the Rfam family "Bacterial small subunit ribosomal RNA", at positions 30 to 507 of the family's 1533-position model. The record is from RNAcentral.